GCCGAAGUGGUGAAAUUGGUAGACACGCCAUCUUGAGGGGGUGGUGACCUAACGGUCGUGCCGGUUCGAGUCCGGCCUUCGGCACCA
This 87-nucleotide transfer RNA is filed under the name Piscirickettsia salmonis. RNAcentral describes it as "tRNA-Leu". It matches the Rfam family "tRNA". Rfam says of the family: Transfer RNA (tRNA) molecules are approximately 80 nucleotides in length. RNAcentral also lists the same sequence under 5 other names. The record is from RNAcentral. Lineage: Bacteria; Pseudomonadati; Pseudomonadota; Gammaproteobacteria; Thiotrichales; Piscirickettsiaceae.